RNAcentral lists this transfer RNA (72 nucleotides) under Gemmata obscuriglobus. It matches the Rfam family "tRNA". Rfam says of the family: Transfer RNA (tRNA) molecules are approximately 80 nucleotides in length. Their secondary structure includes four short double-helical elements and three loops (D, anti-codon, and T loops). Further hydrogen bonds mediate the characteristic L-shaped molecular structure. tRNAs have two regions of fundamental functional importance: the anti-codon, which is responsible for specific mRNA codon recognition, and the 3' end, to which the tRNAs corresponding amino acid is attached (by aminoacyl-tRNA synthetases). tRNAs cope with the degeneracy of the genetic code in two manners: having more than one tRNA (with a specific anti-codon) for a particular amino acid; and 'wobble' base-pairing, i.e. permitting non-standard base-pairing at the 3rd anti-codon position. The record is from Rfam by way of RNAcentral. RNAcentral also lists the same sequence under 1 other name. Lineage: Bacteria; Pseudomonadati; Planctomycetota; Planctomycetia; Gemmatales; Gemmataceae.
CGGCAUGUGGUGUAGCGGUAGCACGUGGCCCUGUGACGGCCCAGGUGAGGGGUUCGACUCCCCCCGCGCCGC